UACGGAGGGUGCAAGCGUUGCUCGGAAUUAUUGGGCGUAAAGGGCAAGUAGGUGGUCUUAUUUGUCUAGGGUGAAAGCCUUGAGCUUAACUCAAGAAGUGCCCUAGAAACGGUAAGACUAGAGUCCUGGAGAGGGUCGUGGAAUUCCCGGUGUAGCGGUGAAAUGCGUAGAGAUCGGGAGGAACACCAGAGGCGAAAGCGGCGACCUGGACAGGCACUGACACUCAACUGCGAAAGCGUGGGGAGCAAACAGG
RNAcentral lists this ribosomal RNA (253 nucleotides) under uncultured bacterium. RNAcentral describes it as "partial 16S ribosomal RNA". It matches the Rfam family "Bacterial small subunit ribosomal RNA", at positions 524 to 776 of the family's 1533-position model. The record is from RNAcentral.